RNAcentral lists this ribosomal RNA (253 nucleotides) under uncultured bacterium. Its description in RNAcentral is "partial 16S ribosomal RNA". It matches the Rfam family "Bacterial small subunit ribosomal RNA", at positions 524 to 776 of the family's 1533-position model. The record is from RNAcentral.
UACAGAGGUCUCAAGCGUUGUUCGGAUUCAUUGGGCGUAAAGGGUGCGCAGGCUGUGUGGUAAGUCAGGUGUGAAAUUUAGAGGCUCAACCUCUAAACUGCACUUGAUACUGCCACGCUAGAGGACUGUAGAGGAGAUUGGAAUUCACGGUGUAGCAGUGAAAUGCGUAGAUAUCGUGAGGAAGACCAGUGGCGAAGGCGAAUCUCUGGGCAGUUCCUGACGCUCAUGCACGAAGGCUAGGGGAGCAAACAGG